Molecule: ribosomal RNA, 462 nt
Filed under: uncultured bacterium
Lineage: Bacteria
Description: partial 16S ribosomal RNA
Rfam family: Bacterial small subunit ribosomal RNA
Source: RNAcentral
GACGAACGCUGGCGGCGUGCUUAACACAUGCAAGUCGAGCGGUAAGGCCCUGCGUGUUACCCGAGCGCCAAACGGGAACGUGACAGGUACAUGUGCGUCACUUCCCCUCGGGAUUAGCCUGAGAUCCUGGGACUAGUGCCAAUAACGGCUUCCUGUCGCUGCUGCGGUGGGGGGAAGAUUUAGCGGUGGAGGAUGGGCACGCGGCUUAUCAGCUUGUUGGUGGGGUAGUGGCUUACCAAGGCGAAGACGGGUAGCCGGCCUGAGAGGGUGACCGGCCACACUGGGACUGAGAUACGGCCCAGACUCCUACGGGAGGCAGCAGUGGGGAAUAUUGCACAAUGGGCGGAAGCCUGAUGCAGCGACGCCGCGUGCGGGAUGACGGCCUUCGGGUUGUAAACCUCUUUCGGCAGUGACGAAGCGUGAGUGACGGUAACUGCAAAAGAAGCACCGGCUAACUACGUG